GGCGUUAUAGUGUAGUGGUUAUCACUCGGGAUUUUGAUCGUAGGAUUUCCCGAAACCCAGGUUCGAACCCUGGUAACGCCU
Molecule: transfer RNA, 81 nt
Filed under: Agaricus bisporus var. burnettii
Lineage: Eukaryota; Fungi; Basidiomycota; Agaricomycetes; Agaricales; Agaricaceae
Also listed under: 2 other names
Rfam family: tRNA
About the family: Transfer RNA (tRNA) molecules are approximately 80 nucleotides in length. Their secondary structure includes four short double-helical elements and three loops (D, anti-codon, and T loops). Further hydrogen bonds mediate the characteristic L-shaped molecular structure. tRNAs have two regions of fundamental functional importance: the anti-codon, which is responsible for specific mRNA codon recognition, and the 3' end, to which the tRNAs corresponding amino acid is attached (by aminoacyl-tRNA synthetases). tRNAs cope with the degeneracy of the genetic code in two manners: having more than one tRNA (with a specific anti-codon) for a particular amino acid; and 'wobble' base-pairing, i.e. permitting non-standard base-pairing at the 3rd anti-codon position.
Source: Rfam by way of RNAcentral